Molecule: long non-coding RNA, 299 nt
Filed under: Bos taurus (domestic cattle)
Lineage: Eukaryota; Metazoa; Chordata; Mammalia; Artiodactyla; Bovidae
Description: long non-coding RNA NONBTAT016466
Source: RNAcentral
CACAUUGGGUUGGCUUUUAUUGGAAUGCCUAGAUGCAAUCUAUAGUCAUCAAGUUAUGGAAAAUUCAGGUCACAUAUAAAGUUAAGAAGGCAAAUGAAAAGAACAAUACAAAUCAGACAAAAUUUACAUCUCAAAAUAUCAUGAAAGCAUUUUGACUGGCUUUGCCUAAAAUACUUUGAAUAUCAAUUUCUUUUUUGUAAGCUAAUUCUUUUCAUUAUACAGCCCCCUUCCCACCCUCCCAACUCUUAGAAAAAGGUCUUUUGUUUACAUAUUCCCCAAGGUCACUAUUUCUUGUAAAA